UACGGGGGGGGCAAGCGUUGUUCGGAAUUACUGGGCGUAAAGGGUGCGUAGGCGGGUCUUUAAGUCAGAGGUGAAAUCCUGGAGCUCAACUCCAGAACUGCCUUUGAUACUGAGGAUCUUGAGUUCGGGAGAGGUGAGUGGAACUGCGAGUGUAGAGGUGAAAUUCGUAGAUAUUCGCAAGAACACCAGUGGCGAAGGCGGCUCACUGGCCCGAUACUGACGCUGAGGCACGAAAGCGUGGGGAGCAAACAGG
This 253-nucleotide ribosomal RNA is filed under the name uncultured bacterium. RNAcentral's name for it is "partial 16S ribosomal RNA". It matches the Rfam family "Bacterial small subunit ribosomal RNA", at positions 524 to 776 of the family's 1533-position model. The record is from RNAcentral.